GACGAACGCUGGCGGCGUGCUUAACACAUGCAAGUCGAACGAUGAAGCCGGAGCUUGCUCCGGUGGAUUAGUGGCGAACGGGUGAGUAACACGUGAGCAAUCUGCUCUUGACUCUGGGAUAACUGCGGGAAACUGUAGCUAAUACCGGAUACGACACCUUGGGGCAUCCCAGGGUGUGGAAAGAAUUUCGGUCAAGGAUGAGCUCGCGGCCUAUCAGCUAGUUGGUGAGGUAAUGGCUCACCAAGGCGACGACGGGUAGCCGGCCUGAGAGGGUGACCGGCCACACUGGAACUGCGACACGGUCCAGACUCCUACGAGAGGCAGCAGUGGAGAAUAUUGCACAAUGGGCGAAAGCCUGAGUCAGCAACGCCGCGUGAGGGAUGAAGGCCUUCGGGUUGUAAACCUCUUUUAGCACCGACGAAGCGCAAGUGACGGUAGGUGCAGAAGAAGGACCGGCCAACUACGUGCCAGCCGCCGCGGUAA
This 483-nucleotide ribosomal RNA is filed under the name uncultured bacterium. RNAcentral's name for it is "partial 16S ribosomal RNA". It matches the Rfam family "Bacterial small subunit ribosomal RNA", at positions 28 to 523 of the family's 1533-position model. The record is from RNAcentral.